Molecule: long non-coding RNA, 1047 nt
Filed under: Lathyrus oleraceus (garden pea)
Lineage: Eukaryota; Viridiplantae; Streptophyta; Magnoliopsida; Fabales; Fabaceae
Description: Pisum sativum (pea) long non-coding RNA (PSAT_LNC005982)
Source: RNAcentral
CAUUGUGCCUAAACCAACAUCAAAGCUAAUUUCAUUCAAAUUUCCACCUGCAAUAGCCAUUCAUAAAACAUCACUUGAGCAUUUUCACUAAAUUAACCAAUUAACUAACUUCCAACUCAGUGAGUUAUGUACCUGAACCCACUGAGUUCAUCCUAACUAACUCCAAACCUCUUUUAACUAACUCCAAGCCUCAUUGAUCCCAAGCCUAAUAUCUAUAAAUUCUCAUCUUCACCAUCAUUUGAAGGGUCUACUAUUCACUUCACUUUUUACUACUUUCACCAUUUUCUACAAAUAUCACCUUCAACUUUUCUCACUUCAUCUUCUCCAUUUCUUCACCCUACACCAAAGCUCAAACCACCAUUGGAGCAAGCUUCAUAUUGAAGUUUGUUAUCAAUUGAGCUAAACCUCUUACAUUCAAUAAUCAUCCCUACAUUCACAUGAUUAACGUCAACAACAACUCUUCGGUUCAGAAUUUUCAGAGUUGAUUCUUGAAGAGGAGGAGUUCAUGGUAGAAUGAGAAGAUUAAAGGUUCAAAGUAGCAUAAUCUCUGAUUUUCUCUUCUUCAUCUUCAUCACUUCCAAAUUGCAACAAAUUCCAAGACAAUCCUCCGUCUUGUAGGUUGGUGAAUGUUCAUCUUUCAUCUGUGCUUGUUUGCUGAAUUUUUAUACCAUAUAGUGGCUUGCGUAGUGGAGAAUCAUAACCCCAAGGUUUGAUGGUUUGAUUCUCCUACACCUCCAUUUAAUUGAAGAUUUUGUUCUUAGGGUUCUUGACCUUAUUGGCUUAAUUUCCAGCAUUAAUUAAUUUGUGGUUAGAAUGACUGAGGGAUUAGGACAUAAGAGGUUGAGAGUAGUAAGAGAUUGAUGCUUUUUCUUGAUUCCGGCCAGCUCCUCUGCCUCCGGCACGGUGGUGCCAGAAUUCCGGUGGUGGUUCUGUUUUGACAUGAAUUCGAAGAUGAUGUGUAGAGAUGAGAGAGUGAGUGUUGAUUUUUCCACAUGUCUCUUUUCAAUUUUUGGUGGGCUUAUCAUUAAGCCCAAUACUCUGCUUUCU